CAUGCAAGUCGAGCGGCAGCGGAAAGUAGCUUGCUACUUUGCCGGCGAGCGGCGGACGGGUGAGUAAUGUCUGGGAAACUGCCUGAUGGAGGGGGAUAACUACUGGAAACGGUAGCUAAUACCGCAUAACGUCGCAAGACCAAAGAGGGGGACCUUCGGGCCUCUUGCCAUCAGAUGUGCCCAGAUGGGAUUAGCUAGUAGGUGGGGUAACGGCUCACCUAGGCGACGAUCCCUAGCUGGUCUGAGAGGAUGACCAGCCACACUGGAACUGAGACACGGUCCAGACUCCUACGGGAGGCAGCAGUGGGGAAUAUUGCACAAUGGGCGCAAGCCUGAU
RNAcentral lists this ribosomal RNA (337 nucleotides) under uncultured Enterobacter sp. RNAcentral describes it as "bacterial SSU rRNA". It matches the Rfam family "Bacterial small subunit ribosomal RNA", at positions 54 to 387 of the family's 1533-position model. Lineage: Bacteria; Pseudomonadati; Pseudomonadota; Gammaproteobacteria; Enterobacterales; Enterobacteriaceae. The record is from RNAcentral.